UCUAGAAGUCUUAUUUCUAAAAGUACAGCAUGUAUAACAUGAAAAUGAUUUAUCUAAAUCAGUCACAAAUGGCUAUCUAGCAAAUAUAGUUGGACAAAGCAGCUCUGAGCUACAUUUGUUAGCCAAAUCUCAAUGGAAAGUCUGAAGCCAUGACUAUCGUGUGCUAACUUAUCCAGGUGGCCUAUGGACUUGGGGAAUGUAAAAUGCAAAUGUAAGAGUGAGCUUUGUAAAUUAGCUUUUACCAGCCCCACUGCAUUCGUCAACUUUCUUUAAUUCUCAUUCAGCACCACCUUUCACUCUGGAAACUUGUUCUUCACAGGGAACAUUGUAAUGACAGAUAAAAUUGCUUAAAACUUGCGGAUCAUCUCUUUUAAAAUGCAGAUUAUAAGGAUCAAGACACUCUCUGGUGCAGGAAUGCUGCUUUUUGCUGCACUAUUCAUGUUUGGCCAACCUUCAAAUGUGGGGUCCACAGAGGUGACCUAUUGGGCAGAGAUCAUGAUUGAGGGAAAUAAAACCUUAAAUGUGGGAGUCUAUCUGCCUGGACUUAUAGGGACUGUUCUGGAUACAACGGGAGUAACUAUCACAGGCGCUGAAAUAGCAGCAGGUACGUUAAAUCUACCAUGAUGUGAGUAAUGGUUUAUGCUUUCUGAGACAGUGUUUAUUCUGUUUUUAAUCACAAGUCUAUCGUUAUCAAAACAUUUCAGGAUAGACAGUAAUUAACAGUAAAAAGGAAUAGGAUAAGGCUUUUAAGAAUAAGGAUUAAAUGCAUAAAAAUUCCAGUUUGACAGAUUACAUUUCAUUUACAGAAUAAAUAUGCAUUUUGUGUGUAUAAAUAUGUGUAUAUG
RNAcentral lists this long non-coding RNA (845 nucleotides) under Carassius auratus (goldfish). Its description in RNAcentral is "lncRNA (ENSCARG00000055393.1)". Lineage: Eukaryota; Metazoa; Chordata; Actinopteri; Cypriniformes; Cyprinidae. The record is from RNAcentral.